Molecule: ribosomal RNA, 1359 nt
Filed under: Lactiplantibacillus plantarum
Lineage: Bacteria; Bacillati; Bacillota; Bacilli; Lactobacillales; Lactobacillaceae
Description: bacterial SSU rRNA
Rfam family: Bacterial small subunit ribosomal RNA
Source: RNAcentral
AUCCUGCUCAGGACGAACGCUGGCGGCGUGCCUAAUACAUGCAAGUCGAACGAACUCUGGUAUUGAUUGGUGCUUGCAUCAUGAUUUACAUUUGAGUGAGUGGCGAACUGGUGAGUAACACGUGGGAAACCUGCCCAGAAGCGGGGGAUAACACCUGGAAACAGAUGCUAAUACCGCAUAACAACUUGGACCGCAUGGUCCGAGUUUGAAAGAAUGGCUUCGGCUAUCACUUUUGGAUGGUCCCGCGGCGUAUUAGCUAGAUGGUGGGGUAACGGCUCACCAUGGCAAUGAUACGUAGCCGACCUGAGAGGGUAAUCGGCCACAUUGGGACUGAGACACGGCCCAAACUCCUACGGGAGGCAGCAGUAGGGAAUCUUCCACAAUGGACGAAAGUCUGAUGGAGCAACGCCGCGUGAGUGAAGAAGGGUUUCGGCUCGUAAAACUCUGUUGUUAAAGAAGAACAUAUCUGAGAGUAACUGUUCAGGUAUUGACGGUAUUUAACCAGAAAGCCACGGCUAACUACGUGCCAGCAGCCGCGGUAAUACGUAGGUGGCAAGCGUUGUCCGGAUUUAUUGGGCGUAAAGCGAGCGCAGGCGGUUUUUUAAGUCUGAUGUGAAAGCCUUCGGCUCAACCGAAGAAGUGCAUCGGAAACUGGGAAACUUGAGUGCAGAAGAGGACAGUGGAACUCCAUGUGUAGCGGUGAAAUGCGUAGAUAUAUGGAAGAACACCAGUGGCGAAGGCGGCUGUCUGGUCUGUAACUGACGCUGAGGCUCGAAAGUAUGGGUAGCAAACAGGAUUAGAUACCCUGGUAGUCCAUACCGUAAACGAUGAAUGCUAAGUGUUGGAGGGUUUCCGCCCUUCAGUGCUGCAGCUAACGCAUUAAGCAUUCCGCCUGGGGAGUACGGCCGCAAGGCUGAAACUCAAAGGAAUUGACGGGGGCCCGCACAAGCGGUGGAGCAUGUGGUUUAAUUCGAAGCUACGCGAAGAACCUUACCAGGUCUUGACAUACUUAUGCAAAUCUAAGAGAUUAGACGUUCCCUUCGGGGACAUGGAUACAGGUGGUGCAUGGUUGUCGUCAGCUCGUGUCGUGAGAUGUUGGGUUAAGUCCCGCAACGAGCGCAACCCUUAUUAUCAGUUGCCAGCAUUAAGUUGGGCACUCUGGUGAGACUGCCGGUGACAAACCGGAGGAAGGUGGGGAUGACGUCAAAUCAUCAUGCCCCUUAUGACCUGGGCUACACACGUGCUACAAUGGAUGGUACAACGAGUUGCGAACUCGCGAGAGUAAGCUAAUCUCUUAAAGCCAUUCUCAGUUCGGAUUGUAGGCUGCAACUCGCCUACAUGAAGUCGGAAUCGCUAGUA